UGCCUAUGAAUAAUUUAAAUGGCCGCAGUAUUUUGACUGUGCAAAGGUAGCAUAAUCACUUGUCUCUUAAUUGGAGGCUGGAAUGAAGGAGGCGACGAAAUUUAAACUUUUGAGUUAUAAUGUGAAAUUGACAUAAAGAUCAAAAGGUCUUUAUUCAUCAAAGGGACGAUAAGACCCUAUAAAACUUUACUAUAAAGCAAAUUAUUUAGUUAAAUUUAAAGAUUUAUAGUUUAGCUGGGGCGGUUUAUAUAAAAACAAUUGAAAAAAUAAUAUAUUUAAUAAAGUUUGAGAACUCUUGUAGGAAAUAAAUAAGUUACUUUAGGGAUAACAGCAUAAUUCUCCCAGAGAGUCCUUAUUGGCGGGGGAGCUUAUGACCUCGAUGUUGAAUUGGGGAGUCUGGUGUAAGCAGAAAUACAUUAAGAUAGUCUGUUCGACUGUUAAACCCCC
Molecule: ribosomal RNA, 447 nt
Filed under: Proasellus ortizi
Lineage: Eukaryota; Metazoa; Arthropoda; Malacostraca; Isopoda; Asellidae
Description: partial 16S ribosomal RNA
Rfam family: Bacterial large subunit ribosomal RNA
Source: RNAcentral